Molecule: RNA transcript, 2147 nt
Organism: Cryptotermes secundus
Lineage: Eukaryota; Metazoa; Arthropoda; Insecta; Blattodea; Kalotermitidae
Gene name: porphobilinogen deaminase
Exons: 8
Source: RefSeq, a predicted model, not a curated record
UUGUGAAGGUUGUGAAAGCGACCAGGCUGAUCGAGGUCGACUACUUGCAGAAAUUGAGGCAGGAAAGAGUGGAUGUGGGGUACCGACAGUACCGAUAUAAGUGGUUUUGAAAACAGAAACGUAUAUUAUAAUGGCGCUGGGAUGAGAAUGUGUGUUAAUUUGUUACCUAUAUAGCAUUACGUUACACAUUCUACUGCAGUGUCAGUAACUGUGUUAAAAUAUUUUUAUUAGUUUCUGCGUUACAUAAAGUCGACCGAUUUCUGCAACCUUAGAAAGUACAAACUAGAGAUGUUGACCGGAGCAAAUCAGUUUUUUAAACAUGCUGUACCAGAGAAGAAGGAAAAUAUUAGAAUUGGAUCAAGACGGAGCCAAUUAGCCCUAAUACAAACCAGAUAUGUUAUUGAGUGCUUGAAAAAUUUGAAUCCCGAGAAAACAUAUGAAAUAGUUGAAAUGUCAACUAUGGGUGAUCAAAUUUUAAACAAAGCUUUGCCAAAAAUAGGUGAAAAAAGUUUAUUUACUAAAGAAUUAGAGAUUGCUUUAGAACAGCAAGAUGUCGAUUUUGUGGUUCACUCUCUAAAGGAUCUACCAACAACACUGCCAGAUGGCCUGUGCAUAGGAGCAAUUCUGAAGCGAGAAGACCCACGGGAUGCACUUGUUUUGCAUCCAAAACAUGAAGGGAAGACUCUGAAAUCUUUACCAAAGGGCAGUGUUAUAGGAACAAGUUCCUUAAGGCGAACAGCACAGCUGAACAGAAGUUACCCAGAACUCAAAGUUGAAAAUAUUCGUGGUAACCUCAAUACAAGACUGAAUAAGUUAGAUAAUGGGGAAACAUAUGCAGCUGUAGUCCUUGCAUCUGCUGGCUUAUCAAGAAUGGGAUGGGAGAAGAGAAUCAGUCAGAAAUUAGAAGCAGAAGAACUAUUAUAUGCUGUGGGUCAAGGAGCUCUGGCGAUAGAGUGCAGAGAAGAUGAUUUUGCAACUCUCAGACUUCUGGAACCAUUAUUCCAUGGCACUACAACUUUUCGAGUACUAGCAGAAAGAAGCUUCCUAAGGACACUUGGUGGAGGUUGUUCAGCGCCAGUUGCUGUCAAGUCUGAACUGAUUGGACAGACACUCUCUCUCACUGGGGCAGUAUGGAGUUUGGACGGCAACAAAAUGCUGAGACACUCAUCUUUGUGUAGGUUGCAGUAUAAGGAAGAGGAUGAAGAUGGAGAACCACCAAGGAAGUGCCCCUACAGAAUGCCAAAACUAUUCUGCAGUAUUUCACCAGGGAAUUUGACCUACCGAGAUCUGGAAGAAGCAGAAAAAUUGGGCGAAGACUUAGCAUGUCAUUUGGUGAAUGAAGGAGCACUAGAUAUCAUGAAGGAAGCAAAGAAGCAGAAUGAAUCAAGUUGAAUUACCCUGAGGUAAUAGUGAAUAUACACACAUCUGACCAGGGAGCCUUUGUUGGUGGCAGUGACAUUUGUCAGCACUUUAUAUGGUGUUGUGUGCACAGUGGCAGAGUUGCAGCUAAGAAGACUACCAUUACAUUCAUGGUGCUACUGUAUUGUACCACUACUCAUUAUGCAAAUUAUCUGCAGUACUGUAUACCAAGUUUUGCCCUUUCAAAUUGCUAGACAGUGAUCUUAAAUGUACAUUAUUCAUGAUUUAAUCGUGAAAAUUCUGGAAGCACCAGCAUCUUGCUAUUUAAAUUUCAGUCUGUCAUUUGACUAAAAUGGUAGGCAUGUCUUGUUCAGAACUGAAAUUAAAAAUUUACAUAUGGGGAAGUACGGACAAUCAGCCAUCUGUAUGGAGAGACUGUAGGCACAGGCUUGCUAAUGGCAUAUGUCAGUUUGUUGAAACUUCAUUGUGAGAUGGGUGGAGCUGUGCUUUAUGUUUAGGAGGUUCUUUAUUCAUAUCUCAGUUCAGAGACUGGUGAUCCUGAUUGAUGUUUUUUGUGGUUUUUCUUAGUCCCUCAAAGAAGUUGCCCAUGUAAUACCUGAAAUUAGGUCACAGCCAUUCCCACAUCCUUUCCAAUUCAUUAUUCUGUAAUCAAACAAAAAUAUGAUUCUAUAUACCCUGAGUUACUGAUGGUGUCAGCGGCCUCCGUAGUCUAGGGGUAACGUUCUCACCUUAUGACUCAAGGUACGCGGGUUCAAACCCGGCGGAGG